This 1202-nucleotide long non-coding RNA is filed under the name Chrysolophus pictus (golden pheasant). Its description in RNAcentral is "lncRNA (ENSCPIG00010011014.1)". Lineage: Eukaryota; Metazoa; Chordata; Aves; Galliformes; Phasianidae. The record is from RNAcentral.
CCACAUCUCUUUGGGUGGGGGACUGAGCAGACAAAACUAUUCUUUCGUGGCAUCAGCCUUACUUCAGGAGAAAGGUAAUACUGGGCUGUGCAAAUGCAGGCACAGGAGUUUGCGAAAGCACAUUUUCCCUCCCCGUGCUUCAUAUGCAGAAAUGCUAUACUAUUUACUCAUUUGGAUGAUGACUAGGAGACACAUUACCAUAAGCAUUAUGGAGAUGAAUGCCUCAAAUUUAGGAAUUCAUGUCCCAGUUGUUACUCUGAGAAAAUAGCUGUGGACAUGGAUGGAAGCUUAGCUCAACUAACAGCGUAAAAAUCAGAUCUUGGGAGCAGAUGUGAGUGAAGCCGCAGAAACAAAACAAGAGCGUGAUACAGAAGUAGCAACAAAAACAAAACAAUUUUCGACUAACGCUGCAUAGCCGUCUUUCUUUAAUGGAUUAUAUGUUUUCCUCUUCAGGCAACAGGGAUUUGAGACAUGCAAAUUCUAGCAUGAGGCUGAGUUGAGCAACUAUGCACUUGCAGGUUUCUGACAACUAGGUCUGAAAAGAGGAAAAGGAGAAAAAGAAAAAGCACCUUGCUAGUUCUUUCACAUUAGCGUGCACACGAGAACAGCUCACUGGGCUUCACCUGACUUCCUGUCUUCAUAGUCUGGAGAAUGCUGUGAGAUGCUACGGGUGUCUGCCCGUGAGGCAACUCGGAACUGGCUCCACAAGCACUGUGUUUACCAGAGAAAACAGUAAAAAUCUCUGCUCAGUUCACUGCACAUUGCACAAGCCAAAUGGCAAAGAGAUGUAUUUUUUUUUCUUUGCUCGGAAGUAAAUGGCAGUGCCAACACAUACAAAUAUGCAUCUGUUACUAAUGAGGUGUUUACAGUCCCUGCCUUGCCAAUUGCACGCGUGUAAUACCUCAGCCCAUCUUCACCUUCGGGGCUCUGGCAGGGAUGUUCUUAAGAAGUUGCCCUCUGCGAAAUUUCACUAAAUGGAAACCGUGGACCCUGCAUGAUGCGAUUAUAAUCACACCAGCCAUUCUUUUUACAUAAUUUUUUGUUUAAAAUCCAGUAAUGCUUCUUGUUUUUAAAACAUAUAUCUAUAUCUCUACGUGCAUCUAAACCGGCGCUGGUUUACGUCCCCUCAGCAAAGCGCAAGCUGGAGCUAUAACUGGCUGUAUCCCAUCCACAAAUCUCAAUGGACUCAAAAACAAUAUGAA